CUACGGGUUGCUCCAGUGGGGAAUAUUGCACAAUGGGGGGAACCCUGAUGCAGCAACGCCGCGUGGAGGAUGACGCAUUUCGGUGUGUAAACUCCUUUUAUAUGUCAAGAAAAUGACGGUAGCAUAUGAAUAAGCACCGGCUAACUCCGUGCCAGCAGCCGCGGUAAUACGGAGGGUGCAAGCGUUACUCGGAAUCACUGGGCGUAAGGGACGCGUAGGCGGGUUGGAAAGUCAGGUGUGAAAUCCUACAGCUUAACUGUAGAACUGCACUUGAAACUUCUAAUCUAGAGUAUGGGAGGGGGAGAUGGAAUUAGUGGUGUAGGGGUAAAAUCCGUAGAUAUCACUAGGAAUACCUAAAGCGAAGGCGAUCUCCUGGAACAUUACUGACGCUAAGGCGUGAAAGCGUGGGGAGCAAACAGGAUUAGAUACCCGGGUAGUC
This 439-nucleotide ribosomal RNA is filed under the name uncultured bacterium. RNAcentral's name for it is "partial 16S ribosomal RNA". It matches the Rfam family "Bacterial small subunit ribosomal RNA", at positions 339 to 795 of the family's 1533-position model. The record is from RNAcentral.